GGGGGUGAUGUGGUCUCGACUUAAGAUGUUUAUGCUUUAGGUGGCAUGCCGAGGAUGUCAGGUUGGCCUCGUUAAAUACCCUGGCACACAAUAAACGGCGAUAAUUACGACGCUGUAGCUGAAGCAGAAGCAAUUCUUGCUGAAGCGACACCAGUCUUAGUUUAAGAAUAAACUAAGCCCUAAUAUAAAUCAUUCCUAUGGAUUUAUAAAAGGACCUUUAUAGGAUAGCCUAUCCCAGGCCUAGGGGGAUGUGGCGAAACCAAUAGGCUGGCUUCAGUCUAUCCUGUUCAUUGGAGCGGCUGAAGUAAGACUAAAAAAUGAUCUAAGCAUGUAGAGGCUUAAGGCAGGCUCGCUAAGGACCCGGGUUCGAUUCCCGGCACCUCCACCA
This 388-nucleotide transfer-messenger RNA is filed under the name Candidatus Omnitrophota. RNAcentral's name for it is "JAGOSC01 sp018062515 Standard tmRNA". It matches the Rfam family "transfer-messenger RNA". Rfam says of the family: Bacterial tmRNA, also known as 10Sa RNA or SsrA, is named for its dual tRNA and mRNA-like properties. Its role is to liberate the mRNA from a stalled ribosome. RNAcentral also lists the same sequence under 1 other name. Lineage: Bacteria; Pseudomonadati. The record is from RNAcentral.